GACGAACGCUGGCGGCGUGCUUAACACAUGCAAGUCGAACGGAAAGGCCCUGCUUUUGUUGGGUGCUCGAGUGGCGAACGGGUGAGUAACACGUGAGUAACCUGCCCUUGACUUUGGGAUAACUUCAGGAAACUGGGGCUAAUACCGGAUAGGAGCUCCUGCUGCAUGGGGGGGGUUGGAAAGUUUCGGCGGUUGGGGCUGGACUCGCGGCUUAUCAGCUUGUUGGGGGGGUAGUGGCUUACCCAGCCUUUGACGGGUAGCCGGCCUGAGAGGGUGACCAGCCCCAUUGGGCCUGAGAGACGGCCCAGACGCCAACGGGAGGCAGCAGUGGGGAAUAUUGCACAAUGAGCGGGAGCGUGAGGCAGAAACCCCCGGUGUGGGAUGACGGCCUUCGGGGUGUAAACCGCUUUCGCCUGUGACGAAGCGUGAGUGACGGUAAUGGGUAAAGAAGCACCGGCUAACUACGUG
Molecule: ribosomal RNA, 468 nt
Filed under: uncultured bacterium
Lineage: Bacteria
Description: partial 16S ribosomal RNA
Rfam family: Bacterial small subunit ribosomal RNA
Source: RNAcentral